UAAAUUUUUAACUUGUAGCAGCUAAUUCGUUCGUUUAUACCGUCAAUAACUAUAAAAAUCCAGAUAAAUCUCUCACUAAAAUGUUCUUUUGCACAUUCAUCAGGGUGCUGGUUUCGAUCAGCAAAUUAACAACAGGACAGGUGUUAACUAAAGGUUGAUAUUAUAUGUAUGAAAGUGCUAUUUCAACUAAUAAAAAGGAAAGCAUUAAUCAGAAAAAAAAUCAUCAGCUUCCCGGACAAUACAUGUGCCACUCCCAAGCACUGUGGGAGCUGGGAACAUGGGUUUACACCGAGAUGCUUCUGCAGCAACAGGAGAGCCGAGGCAACGUCUCCACAGUACCACACCUCACCUGCAGAAAGCAAAGCCACCAAUUCAGAAUCUGAAUUUUCAGAUUGUUUUUUUUUCUGAAACAACCAGGACUCUUUGUGUGUUGAAAUAGAAAUCAUUCGGAUCCAGAGGCUUAUCAGAUUUUGUCUCUGAAGUUUACCACAUGUAAUCAUGCUUGUCAUGGAAAUGGGAUAAUAAUACAAGAGUGAACAAUUAAUAAUGAUGGUACUGAUUUUGCAUAUCGUUUAGUAUUCGUAAACAUUAUGAAAGAGUAUCCAAUUGCAAUGCAUGGCUAUAAUCAUUAUAUAACGUUAGAUCCCGCCCUGUUAUAGAAGAGACGCUCAUUCCUUUCCAGUUUUCUGCAGUGCAAUCAGACUUUAUUUUCAUGUCUAGCCUGAUCGAGACUCUAGCACAGCAUGCCGACAGGUGUCUUCCAAUUUUUCUCUGCCUCUUCUUUAUUGAUAGGGUUCGCUGUUGGGAAUCACUCCCUAGCUAGAAACACUUGCACACACUCCUGAUGAACACACACCAGGGGGCGAAGAACACUGGAGUUUGGUGCUGCACAAACGCAACCUUUUUCACUUUUUUUUGACUCAAUUAAACAAGAUGCUAAGUACAUGCUUAAAUAGGCAUUAGAGACCAGGACGUGAGCCACUAGCAGCCACAUGCCACGUUCACGACUACACGAUCGACUAGUGCAUCCAUGCACACCUACUAAUUAGCUAAGAUCCUAAUGACCCGGCCAUUAUGCUAAUGACUCAACUACCCAGCCACUGUAUUGCUUGCUUGCUACGUUCCAUGCCACAAAACCGAUCACCCAGCCAUCUCAGCCACUUCAGUCAAGGUGCAUGACGUGCUCCUGCAGCAUCUCGCACGUACCCGGCCGUCUCGCACGGCUUCUCGGCCAUCUUCGCGUACACAUCUCGCGUACGACCACAAGCUUCUUUGGGCACCACGUGCUGCUACCUAUACAUUUAUUUUUCACAUGCAACCAAAAUAAACAUGCUAAUGCUAAUGACAAGAUUAUUUCUAACAUUCGGAAUACUGAUAACAGUGCUCAACAUGCUUGAUACUGACAACAGUAAGAAAAACACCGGGGAUAGCAAUGGGUCGGCUCGAGUACGAAUAUAGUAAAUCAUUGCUCUUGAAAGAUUUGUAUUAGUGAAUUGAGUUUAGCACACGGUGUAGCACGCACGGUUCUUGUUCCUGUUACCAAUCUGAAUAUCCUCGCAGAAUACUCAAAUAUCGAGUUUGGUCGUCGUCGUCGGCGG
RNAcentral lists this long non-coding RNA (1598 nucleotides) under Oryza brachyantha (malo sina). Its description in RNAcentral is "long non-coding RNA (OBRA_LNC002340)". Lineage: Eukaryota; Viridiplantae; Streptophyta; Magnoliopsida; Poales; Poaceae. The record is from RNAcentral.